AAACUGAGACCAGAUCAUGCGAGGAACUUGUCCAAAUCUUGCAGCAUGUUAAUUGCAGACCUGGAACUAGAACUUGUCUCCUGACUCCUGAGUCUAUUGUCAUUUUCAUUAGCAGCAUUUCCAGGACUGACACAGGCUGCCACAAACAUGAAACAGCUGCACAGCAAAUUAAUCUCCAGAUGGUUACACCAAGUUGGCAAGAUUUGAACUUCUUUUCCUCAUGUCUUCACCAUCUCAUCAAAAGUCUGGAUAUAUUUUCAUUCAAGGGCCCCAGCUGAGAACCUAAAAAGGUAGAAGAAAGAAAGAUUUUUCCUCCCCUAUAAUUCCAUGAGGAAACUCAAACAGCCCCAUGAAGAAGCCCAUAGGGAGAGGAACUAUAUUGCCUAGCCAAUAGCUAUAUGAGUAAACCACUUUGGAAGUGGACCUUCCAAUCCCUGCUAAGUCUUCAGAUAAUGGGAGCCAUAGCUGACAUCUGACUGCAAUAUCAUGAGAUGCUCCUAAAAU
Molecule: long non-coding RNA, 504 nt
Organism: Hyaena hyaena (striped hyena)
Lineage: Eukaryota; Metazoa; Chordata; Mammalia; Carnivora; Hyaenidae
Exons: 3
Source: RefSeq, a predicted model, not a curated record